Molecule: long non-coding RNA, 194 nt
Filed under: Struthio camelus australis
Lineage: Eukaryota; Metazoa; Chordata; Aves; Struthioniformes; Struthionidae
Description: lncRNA (ENSSCUG00000000446.1)
Source: RNAcentral
CUAAACCCUAGGGGGAAAAAAUGUGUGUAACGAGGACCAGAACUCCCAUAAAGAUGAAGAGCCUGGCUUGAAGGAAAGGCUUUUUAAAAAUAGGUUUGUGGGUUUUUGUAAAACCAGAAGAUGGCAGCAAGCAUUGACUAGAAUUUUUUACCACUAAACCACUUCACACCUUCAGAGCAAAGUGAUAUCCUUUG